RNAcentral lists this ribosomal RNA (443 nucleotides) under uncultured bacterium. Its description in RNAcentral is "partial 16S ribosomal RNA". It matches the Rfam family "Bacterial small subunit ribosomal RNA", at positions 338 to 795 of the family's 1533-position model. The record is from RNAcentral.
CCUACGGGGGGCAGCAGUGGGGAAUAUUGGGCAAUGGGCGCAAGCCUGACCCAGCAACGCCGCGUGAAGGAAGAAGGCUUUCGGGUUGUAAACUUCUUUUCUGAGGGACGAAGAAAGUGACGGUACCUCAGGAAUAAGCCACGGAUAACUACGUGCCAGCAGCCGCGGUAAUACGUAGGUGGCAAGCGUUAUCCGGAUUUAUUGGUUGGAAAGGGCGUGUAGGCGGGAAAGAAAGUCAGAUGUGAAAACUCAGGGCUCAACCCUGAGCCUGCAAUUGAAACUGUUUUUCUUGAGUGCUGGGGAGGCAAUCGGAAUGCCGGGUGUAGCGGUGAAAUGCGUAGAUAUAAGGAGGAACACCAGUGGCGAAGGCGGAUUGCUGGACAGUAACUGACGCUGAGGCGCGAAAGCGUGGGGAGCAAACAGGAUUAGAUACCCGUGUAGUC